RNAcentral lists this ribosomal RNA (253 nucleotides) under uncultured bacterium. RNAcentral describes it as "partial 16S ribosomal RNA". It matches the Rfam family "Bacterial small subunit ribosomal RNA", at positions 524 to 776 of the family's 1533-position model. The record is from RNAcentral.
GACAGAGGUGCCGAGCGUUAGGCGGAAUCACUGGGCUUAAAGCGUGUGUAGGCGGGUCGUUAAGUGCCUUGUGAAAUCCCACGGCUCAACCGUGGAACUGCUGGGCAUACUGCCGAUCUUGAGCCAGCUAGGGGCAACCGGAACAAACGGUGGAGCGGUGAAAUGCGUUGAGAUCGGAGGGAACGCCCGUGGCGAAAGCGAGGUCCUGGACCCUUUCUGACGCUGAGACGCGAAAGCCAGGGGAGCGAACGGG